UAAGCAUCAUGAUGGUUAUAAUCUACUACCAAAUGGUCCAGAACUCGUCUAAGAGAAAGGAAGAUCAAACCAACGCGAUAUGGAAUGGCUUGUUUUUCUAUUCAAAGAUCAGCGCCCUGGCUCUGUGUUUUCACAUCGAGAAGUCAAAAGGACAUACAUAUGGUUUAAUUGGUCAAGGUUUGAGUGCGUGAGAAAAGGAAAAGAAACAACCAAAUACAAAGAAAAUACAAGCUGAAGACUUUAAAUUCAGUCUCGAAAUUGCCCUUGCAUAUUGCCCUCGAGGUCCAACUAAACAUACAUUUCCCAUUGUUUUGCCACGAA
RNAcentral lists this unclassified non-coding RNA (321 nucleotides) under Hevea brasiliensis (rubber tree). The record is from RNAcentral. Lineage: Eukaryota; Viridiplantae; Streptophyta; Magnoliopsida; Malpighiales; Euphorbiaceae.